Molecule: long non-coding RNA, 4008 nt
Organism: Chenopodium quinoa (quinoa)
Lineage: Eukaryota; Viridiplantae; Streptophyta; Magnoliopsida; Caryophyllales; Amaranthaceae
Exons: 4
Source: RefSeq, a predicted model, not a curated record
AAUUGUAACACGACCCAACCCGCUUAAUAAACAGGUCGUGUUCGUGUUUACCCGUUUACCGUUUACCUGUUUAUAUAUAUAAAAAAAACGAAUAUAAUAAAAUGGCCCAAAAACAUAAAAUAAACCUAACUUCAUUUCUCCUUACAUCCGUCAUACAUCAAUGAAAUUAACCUAACUAUUUUCACAUUUCAUUCUAUGGUCUCUCUCUCUUCACAGCCGUCACACUCACUCUCUCUCAACUUCUCAAGAUCAUUCGGAUAAUAUGUCAUACUUCAUAUUCUUAAGAUGGAUUCUGGACCAAAAUCCACUCAAAUUGAUGGGGAAGAAGGUGACCUAGAGCUUGAAUUUGUUAAGGAAACACGAGCUAAAUCGGUUAAACAACAAAAGGGAAAGAAAAUCGGCCACACUUACAAGCCUGAUAAGAAUUUUAAGCGAUGUAGAAAGCUUACCUCUAGUGUGUGGGUGAAUUUUACCAUUUUAGAACCUGACCCUGAUGGUAAUUUGUGGUGUAAGUGUAAGAAUUGUGGCCAGAUUUAUAGUGCUGAUAGUAAGUAUGGUACUGGUAAUUUGCUUCGACAUUCUACUAGUUGUAAGAAGAAAUCCUACCUUUAAUACUGAAGUUUUUCGUAAUUUUCUUGCUGUUGCUAUUGUUAAGCAUGGGUUGCCCUUUCAAUUUGUUGAAUAUGAAGGGAUUAGGAAUGUAUUCUCUUACUUGCAACCUGACGUGAAAUUGUUCUCUAGAAACACCACAAAAAAUGAUAUAAUUAAACUUUACAAUAUGGAGAAAGUAAGACUUGGUGCUGCCUUGCAUGAAGUUUCUGGGAGAAUUUCUUUAACACCUGAUUGUUGGUCAUCUCUUACCACUGAUGGAUAUAUAUCACUUAUUGCACACUAUAUUGAUGAGUCUUGGACUUUACAAAAAAGGAUUUUGAACUUCUCUUUAAUGCCCCCACCCCAUACUAGUGUUGCUAUGUCUGAAAAAAUUUACACAUUGCUAAAAGAGUGGAGAAUUGAGAAAAAAAUAAUGUCAAUGAAUUUGGAUAAUGCUUCUGCAAAUGAUGUGUUUGUUGAUUGUUUGAAAGGAAAUCUUGAUUUGUUGUGUGAUGGGACAUAUUUUCAUAUUCGUUGUUGCUGUCAUAUUCUGAAUUUGGUAGUCCAAGAGGGACUUAAGGAGGUUGAUGAGGCUGUUUGUAAGGUUAGAGAAACUGUGAAAUAUUGUAAGGGUUCAGAGUCUAGGAAACAAAGAUUUCUUGAUUGCGUUGCUUAACUCGAUGGAACUCUACUUAUAUGAUGUUAGAGAGUGCUAUAUUUUACAGAAAGGAUUUUGUUCAUCUUCAUAAAACUGGUACUAACUAUGUGCAUUGUCCAACAAAUGAGGAGUGGUCUAGGCUUGAGAAAAUUUUCAAGUUUUUGAAAGUUUUUUAUGAUUUUACUUGUGCUUUUUCAGGUUCAAAAUACCUUACUGCGAAUCUCUACUUUCCUAAUGUUAUGAAGGUAAGAUUGUUGUUGAAAGAUGAAAUGGAAAGUGUUGAUUCUUUUGUUAGAAAGAUGGCCCUGAGAAUGUGGGGUAAGUUUGAGAAAUAUUGGUCUGAUUUCUCUCCCAUUAUGGCUAUUGCUGCGGUUAUGGAUCAUCGAUAAAAAUUUCAGUUGAUGAGUUUUGUAUAUGCCAAAUUAUAUGAUUCAAAUGCCUCUUUUGAGGUGUCAUGCUUGAAAGACAAGUUAUUUGAGUUGUUUAAUUCAUAUGUUACUUCUUCAACUCAAUCAAAUGGUGGAUCAUCCACACCUUUUAAAACUAAUGAUGGUGGUGUGAACUUUGUUCCUGCUGAUGGCUUCAUGAAGGUAUAUUGCCUAUUUACUUUUUUGUUUAUUAUUAAUUAUUAUUACUAUGAUUAUUAUUUAUUAGAAUUAUUUUUUUUACUUAUUGUAAAUAUGAUUAAUUAGGACUUUGAUGAUUUCUCCGGAGGGGAAUUUGCUAGUACUCCAAAAUCUGAACUUGAAGUAUGUUAAAUUGUGACUCAAAAUCUAGUAGGGCUGACUUUGAACGCUUAUAUCUCUAAAACUACAACUGAUUUUGAGAUGAUUCAAGUUGGAGGUGAUAGCUUGGUUCAAGAGCUUUCCAACGAUAGGUCAUAUGCCCAAUUCUAAUAAGAAACGAGAAAGUUAUGACCGUUUUACAAAAACCUGACGAAGCUAAAAAUUUGCAACGAGGCUGCGAGCUAUAGCUCUAUGCGAGUGAGCUAUAGCUCGGCCCUAUGAGGACUUGCGGCAGGCAUGAGCUAGCUUCCGAGCUAUAGCUCGGUAGUUAGGUUAUUCCAGGAUAAUUUAUGGAAUAUUUCCUAAAAUUAUAUCUUUUCUAUGACGGUUAUUUGAGUAUACUUGGGGAACAAUCUUAGUGUUUUAUUAGGGUUUCCUUGUGUUAUAAAAGAACCCUUUAGUUGAUCAAUUAGAUCAUACCUUAUUGAGCCAUUAGAUUUAAGACUCCUUGUAUUAUUCUCUUGUUUCUUUCUCCAUUAUAGUGAAGAAGCUCUCUAAUCCCCCACCCGUGGAUGUAGGUCUAUUUUGACCGAACCACGUAAAUCCAUGUGUUGUUUGUUUAUCUUCUUUAUUGUUUUUCUGAAUUCUUAUUUUUAAUUGAUUUGUUCCGCAUUAAUCAAACCCAAUUACACCAUUAUUUCCUAACAAAGUAUUCUUGGAGGAGUCUUUAAUUGCUCGUGUCAAUGAAUUGGACAUCCUUGAUUUUUGGAAAUUAAUUCAAUUUCGCUUCCCCAUUCUUUCUCUUAUGGCUAGAGAUAUCCUAUGUAUGCCUAUUUCAACUGUCGCUUCAGAAUCUUCAUUCAGUAUUGGUGGGAGGGUUUUAGACCCUGUUAGACCAUCAUCACUCAUGGUGUAAAAAUUUAUACCACCCUUCUCUCUCUACCACUUUCUCACUCCUCCACAUCAUCUAUACCACAAUACAAUAUAUUUUCUCCAAAAAUCACCCCACCCAUGGUAUAAAAAAAGUUUACUAUUUUGUUUUAUGUUUAAAAUAACUAAUUACUAUUUAUAAAGUUAAUUAAAUAAAAUAAGCAAUUUAUGUAGAAAAAAGUGAAUUUCAAAAAUAUAUAAAACUACAUCAAUAUGGGUGUCUAUGUGUAUGUCUUGAAAAAUUAUGAACAAUGGUAAUUUUUUCUUAAAAUGCAAUUGAAAAAAAUAAAUAAAGAUGUAUGACAACCAGGCCACAUGGCAUGACCUGGUUGGUUCAUGUUUCACGUGGAACGAAAUAAAAGUUUACCAUGGGAUGGUAUAUACCAUUUGAUGGUAUAGUUUUAUGCCACCAAGGUAGUAAAAAUUUGCAACUUUUGGAUUAAUAUUUACACCGUGGUAUAAAAUUAUACCACGAGUGUUGAUGCUCUUAGGAGCUCUUUAAAGCCAUCUGCUGUGGAAGCAUUGAUAUGUCUAAGAGAUUGGUUGUAUGGGCAGCAAGGUGAUUUUUUUAACUUGUUAUUUAUUUAUAUAUAAAAUUAUUGCAGUAUUAGUUAUGAUUCCAAUAGCCUUAUUCUUGUUUAUUCUUCUAUUUAGCUGAUGAGAUUGUUGGGGUGGAGGAUAUAUGUGACAACAUCAUGAAUUUAAAGCUUGAUAUUGAUGACACUUCAUGUCCAAGCACUACACCAAGUCCUGUUUCGGGUAGUGCUGGAAGUGGGAGCACUCCUUGUUCAACUUCCAAACCUGCCGUUAAUGUUCUUGAUUAGGUACCCUUGCAAGAGGAGGUGGCUUGAAUUGGUGGCAUAUGAAAUUUGGAAUUCAAGUGGAAGUUGUCAAUCUUGUCGUCACAAAUCAGCUUAUGGAAUGAACAUUUUGGUUUUUUUUUGAACAAUUAAGUGACAUGUAAUAUUUUGAACAAUUAAUAUUUUGGGCAAACUUUAAUUUCUGGUUUGUAAUAUUUUGGCCUUUUGGGCAAACAUGGCUACUAUGGUUUGUUUGGCAAUGUUGAAAAUAUUUGGGCCAAGUGAGCCUAUUUUUGUGGGUUAA